GAGGAUAUAGCUCAAGUGGUAGAGCACAUGCUUAGCAUGCACGAGGUCCUGGAUUCAAUCCAUUAAUUUCA
RNAcentral lists this transfer RNA (71 nucleotides) under Camelus ferus (Wild Bactrian camel). It matches the Rfam family "tRNA". Rfam says of the family: Transfer RNA (tRNA) molecules are approximately 80 nucleotides in length. Their secondary structure includes four short double-helical elements and three loops (D, anti-codon, and T loops). Further hydrogen bonds mediate the characteristic L-shaped molecular structure. tRNAs have two regions of fundamental functional importance: the anti-codon, which is responsible for specific mRNA codon recognition, and the 3' end, to which the tRNAs corresponding amino acid is attached (by aminoacyl-tRNA synthetases). tRNAs cope with the degeneracy of the genetic code in two manners: having more than one tRNA (with a specific anti-codon) for a particular amino acid; and 'wobble' base-pairing, i.e. permitting non-standard base-pairing at the 3rd anti-codon position. The record is from Rfam by way of RNAcentral. Lineage: Eukaryota; Metazoa; Chordata; Mammalia; Artiodactyla; Camelidae.